RNAcentral lists this long non-coding RNA (552 nucleotides) under Jatropha curcas. RNAcentral describes it as "long non-coding RNA (JCUR_LNC002884)". Lineage: Eukaryota; Viridiplantae; Streptophyta; Magnoliopsida; Malpighiales; Euphorbiaceae. The record is from RNAcentral.
CCCCAACAAGCACAACCGUCUUUACAUGGAGGCCAGGCCUAUGGAGGAAGGACUUGCUGAAGCUAUCGAUGAUGGUCGUAUUGGUCCCAGGGAUGAUCCAAAGGCACGCGCAAAGAUUUUAUCGGAGGAAUUUGGUUGGGAUAAGGACCUUGCAAAGAAGAUAUGGUGUUUUGGUCCUGAGACUACUGGACCAAACAUGGUGGUUGAUAUGUGUAAAGGAGUGCAGUACCUGAAUGAAAUUAAGGACUCUGUUGUUGCUGGGUUCCAAUGGGCAUCAAAGGAAGGAGCACUGGCUGAAGAAAACAUGAGAGGUAUCUGCUUUGAAGUCUGUGAUGUGGUGCUCCACACUGAUGCUAUUCAUAGAGGUGGUGGUCAGAUUAUUCCAACUGCUAGGAGGGUUAUCUACGCAUCACAGCUUACAGCCAAGCCAAGGCUUCUGGAACCUGUUUACUUGGUGGAGAUCCAAGCCCCAGAGCAGGCACUUGGAGGUAUCUACAGUGUUCUUAACCAGAAACGUGGGCAUGUCUUUGAGGAGUUACAGAGGCCUGGUAC